UACAGGGGGGGCAAGCGUUGUUCGGAUUUACUGGGCGUAAAGGGCGCGUAGGCGGCCACCGCAAGUCGAUUGUGAAAUCUCCGGGCUUAACUCGGAAAGGUCAACCGAUACUGCGGGGCUAGAGUGCAGAAGGGGCAACUGGAAUUCUCGGUGUAGCGGUGAAAUGCGUAGAUAUCGAGAGGAACACCUGCGGCGAAGGCGGGUUGCUGGGCUGACACUGACGCUGAUGUGCGAAAGCUAGGGGAGCGAACGGG
Molecule: ribosomal RNA, 254 nt
Filed under: uncultured bacterium
Lineage: Bacteria
Description: partial 16S ribosomal RNA
Rfam family: Bacterial small subunit ribosomal RNA
Source: RNAcentral